Molecule: long non-coding RNA, 293 nt
Filed under: Actinidia chinensis (golden kiwifruit)
Lineage: Eukaryota; Viridiplantae; Streptophyta; Magnoliopsida; Ericales; Actinidiaceae
Description: long non-coding RNA (ACHI_LNC005358)
Source: RNAcentral
GCAGGGAACCGGAGAACCGCCGGGGAAUUGAAUACGGUGUCGCGGCAGAAGUUCGGGGACUUGGAGAUCUUCUUGGCGCCCUUACAGAUCUCGGCGAAGGUGUUGAAGAAGUUCCAGAAGGAAGUGCCGUCGGUGACGGCGUGGUUGACUGUGAGGCCUACGAAGACGCCGUCGCCGAGCUCGGUGACCUGCACGGCGGCCAAUGGCUUUUUAUGGCCGGCGUAGCUGAGCGUUUUGUCGAAGGCGAAGAACUCCUUGAAGCAGCCGGGGACAUCGAGAGGGGCGAGGAUAUC